GAUGAACGCUGGCGGCGUGCCUAAUACAUGCAAGUCGAGCGAACAGACGAGGAGCUUGCUCCUCUGACGUUAGCGGCGGACGGGUGAGUAACACGUGGAUAACCUACCUAUAAGACUGGGAUAACUUCGGGAAACCGGAGCUAAUACCGGAUAAUAUAUUGAACCGCAUGGUUCGAUAGUGAAAGACGGUUUUGCUGUCACUUAUAGAUGGAUCCGCGCCGCAUUAGCUAGUUGGUAAGUUAACGGCUUACCAAGGCGACGAUGCGUAGCCGACCUGAGAGGGUGAUCGGCCACCCUGGAACUGAGACGCGGUCCAGACUCCUACGGGAGGCAGCAGUAGGGAAUCUUCCGCAAUGGGCGAAAGCCUGACGGAGCAGCGCCGCGUGAGUGAUGAAGGUCUUCGGAUCGUAAAACUCUGUUAUUAGGGAAGAACAAAUGUGUAAGUAACUAUGCACGUCUUGACGGUACCUAAUCAGAAAGCCACGGCUAACUACGUG
RNAcentral lists this ribosomal RNA (497 nucleotides) under uncultured bacterium. Its description in RNAcentral is "partial 16S ribosomal RNA". It matches the Rfam family "Bacterial small subunit ribosomal RNA", at positions 28 to 507 of the family's 1533-position model. The record is from RNAcentral.